CAAUUAACAGCUAAUUUAGAACUGUUACUGACCAGGGGGAAUCCGACUGUUUAAUUAAAACAAAGCAUUGUGAUGUUCUCAAUAAGGAUUUUAACACAAUGUGAUUUCUGCCCAAGUGCUCUGAAUGUCAAAGUGAAGAAAUUCAAACAAGCGCGGGUAAACGGCGGGAGUAACUAUGACUCUCUUAAGGUAGCCAAAUGCCUCGUCAUCUAAUUAGUGACGCGCAUGAAUGGAUCAACGAGAUUCCCCACUGUCCCUACUUACUAUCUGGUGAAACCGCAGCCAAGGGAACGGACUUGGUAAUAUCAGCGGGGAAAGAAGACCCUGUUGAGCUUGACUCUAGUCCGACUUUGUGAAAUAUCUUUAGGGGUGUAGUAAUAAGUGGGAGGGCAACCAAUCUUGAAAUA
This 407-nucleotide ribosomal RNA is filed under the name uncultured eukaryote. RNAcentral's name for it is "eukaryotic LSU rRNA". It matches the Rfam family "Eukaryotic large subunit ribosomal RNA", at positions 2093 to 2496 of the family's 3401-position model. The record is from RNAcentral.